Molecule: ribosomal RNA, 291 nt
Filed under: Pseudobutyrivibrio sp. 49
Lineage: Bacteria; Bacillati; Bacillota; Clostridia; Lachnospirales; Lachnospiraceae
Description: 16S rRNA. Bacterial SSU
Rfam family: Bacterial small subunit ribosomal RNA
Source: RNAcentral
UUAAACAUGAGAGUUUGAUCCUGGCUCAGGAUGAACGCUGGCGGCGUGCUUAACACAUGCAAGUCGAACGAAGCAGUUUAUCACGAUCCCUUCGGGGUGACGAUUUACUGACUGAGUGGCGGACGGGUGAGUAACGCGUGGGUAACCUGCCUUGUACAGGGGGACAACAGUUGGAAACGACUGCUAAUACCGCAUAAGCGCACGGAAUCGCAUGAUUUUGUGUGAAAAGAUUUAUCGGUACAAGAUGGACCCGCGUCUGAUUAGCUAGUUGGUGAGGUAAUGGCCCACCAA